This 253-nucleotide ribosomal RNA is filed under the name uncultured bacterium. Its description in RNAcentral is "partial 16S ribosomal RNA". It matches the Rfam family "Bacterial small subunit ribosomal RNA", at positions 524 to 776 of the family's 1533-position model. The record is from RNAcentral.
UACGUAGUGUGCGAUCGUUAAUCGGAAUUACUGGGCGUAAAGCGUGCGCAGGCGGUGAUGUACGACAGUUGUGAAAUCCCCGGGCUCAACCUGGGAACUGCAUCUGUGACUGCAUCGCUGGAGUGCGGCAGAGGGGGAUGGAAUUCCGCGUGUAGCAGUGAAAUGCGUAGAUAUGCGGAGGAACACCGAUGGCGAAGGCAAUCCCCUGGGCCUGCACUGACGCUCAUGCACGAAAGCGUGGGGAGCAAACAGG